UUAGGACGAACGCUGGCGGCGUGCCUAAUACAUGCAAGUCGAACGGCUUUUCUAUGGAAGCUUGCUUCCACUGAGAAGAUAGUGGCGAACGGGUGAGUAACACGUGGGUAACCUGCCCAUAAGAGGGGGAUAACAUCCGGGAACGGGUGCUAAUACCGCAUAGUUUUCUUGAUCGCAUGAUCGGGAAAGGAAAGACGGCCUUUGUGCUGUCGCUUAUGGAUGGACCCGCGGCGUAUUAGUUAGUUGGUGAGGUAACGGCUCACCAAGACGAUGAUACGUAGCCGACCUGAGAGGGUGAUCGGCCACAUUGGGACUGAGACACGGCCCAAACUCCUACGGGAGGCAGCAGUAGGGAAUCUUCCGCAAUGGACGAAAGUCUGACGGAGCAACGCCGCGUGAGUGAAGAAAAGGUUUUCGGAUCGUAAAACUCUGUUGUCAGAGAAGAACAAGUUGGAGAGUAACUGCUCCAGCCUUGACGGUAUCUGACCAGAAAGCCACGGCUAACUACGUGCCAGCCGCCGC
RNAcentral lists this ribosomal RNA (522 nucleotides) under uncultured bacterium. RNAcentral's name for it is "bacterial SSU rRNA". It matches the Rfam family "Bacterial small subunit ribosomal RNA", at positions 24 to 518 of the family's 1533-position model. The record is from RNAcentral.